CCGCCGGCGACCGGCGCACGGGUGAGUAACACGUAUGCAACCUGGCCGUGACAGAUGGAUAACCGGGAGAAAUCCCGCCUAAUACAACAUAAUGCCGGGAGGGGACAUCCCCUGCCGGUCCAAAGGGGGCGACCCCGGUCACGGAUGGGCAUGCGGCGCAUUAGGUAGUUGGUGGGGCAACGGCCCACCAAGCCGACGAUGCGUAGGGGUUCUGAGAGGAAGGUCCCCCACAUUGGAACUGAGACACGGUCCAAACUCCUACGGAAGGCAGCAG
This 274-nucleotide ribosomal RNA is filed under the name uncultured bacterium. Its description in RNAcentral is "partial 16S ribosomal RNA". It matches the Rfam family "Bacterial small subunit ribosomal RNA", at positions 85 to 354 of the family's 1533-position model. The record is from RNAcentral.